CCUACGGGUGGCAGCAGUGAGGAAUAUUGGUCAAUGGACGAGAGUCUGAACCAGCCAAGUAGCGUGAAGGAUGACUGCCCUAUGGGUUGUAAACUUCUUUUAUAUGGGAAUAACAUGUUCCACGUGUGGGCUUUUGUAUGUACCAUAUGAAUAAGGAUCGGCUAACUCCGUGCCAGCAGCCGCGGUAAUACGGAGGAUCCGAGCGUUAUCCGGAUUUAUUGGGUUUAAAGGGAUCGUAGGUGGAUUGUUAAGUCAGUUGUGAAAGUUUGCGGCUCAACCGUACAAUUGCAGUUGAAACUGGCAGUCUUGAGUACAGUAGAGGUGGGCGGAAUUCGUGGUGUAGCGGUGAAAUGCUUAGAUAUCACGAAGAACUCCGAUUGCGAAGGCAGCUCACUGGACUGCAACUGACACUGAGGCUCGAAAGUGUGGGUAUCAAACAGGAUUAGAUACCCGAGUAGUC
Molecule: ribosomal RNA, 460 nt
Filed under: uncultured bacterium
Lineage: Bacteria
Description: partial 16S ribosomal RNA
Rfam family: Bacterial small subunit ribosomal RNA
Source: RNAcentral